Molecule: ribosomal RNA, 494 nt
Filed under: uncultured bacterium
Lineage: Bacteria
Description: bacterial SSU rRNA
Rfam family: Bacterial small subunit ribosomal RNA
Source: RNAcentral
AAAGGAAUAGACGGGGGCCCGCACAAGCGGUGGAGCAUGUGGCUUAAUUCGAGGCAACGCGAAGAACCUUACCUGGGCUUGAAAUAUACAGGACAUCCUAUGAAAGUAGGCUUCUCUUCGGAGUCUGUAUACAGGUGCUGCAUGGCUGUCGUCAGCUCGUGCCGUGAGGUGUUCGGUUAAGUCCGGCAACGAGCGCAACCCGUAUCACUAGUUGCCAGCAAGUAAAGUUGGGGACUCUAGUGAGACUGCCUGUGUUAAGCAGGAGGAAGGCGCGGAUGACGUCAAGUCAGUAUGGCCCUUACGCCCAGGGCUGCACACGUGCUACAAUGGGGGGUACAAUGAGAAGCAAAAUCGCGAGGUGGAGCAAAUCUACAAAACCUCUCUUAGUUCAGAUUGUAGUCUGCAACCCGACUACAUGAAGUUGGAAUCGCUAGUAAAGGCGUAUCAGCUACGACGCCUUGAAUACGUUCCCGGGCCUUGUACACACCGCCCGU